GCCGGUGUAGCUCAGGGGUAGAGUACUUCCUUGGUAAGGAAGGGGUCACGGGUUCAAUUCCCGUCACUGGCU
RNAcentral lists this transfer RNA (72 nucleotides) under Sporocytophaga myxococcoides. It matches the Rfam family "tRNA". Rfam says of the family: Transfer RNA (tRNA) molecules are approximately 80 nucleotides in length. Lineage: Bacteria; Pseudomonadati; Bacteroidota; Cytophagia; Cytophagales; Cytophagaceae. The record is from Rfam by way of RNAcentral. RNAcentral also lists the same sequence under 2 other names.